RNAcentral lists this ribosomal RNA (440 nucleotides) under uncultured bacterium. RNAcentral's name for it is "partial 16S ribosomal RNA". It matches the Rfam family "Bacterial small subunit ribosomal RNA", at positions 338 to 795 of the family's 1533-position model. The record is from RNAcentral.
CCUACGUGUGGCUGCAGUGGGGAAUAUUGCACAAUGGGGGAAACCCUGAUGCAGCGACGCCGCGUGAGUGAAGAAGUCUUUCGGUAUGUAAAGCUCUAUCAGCAUGGAAGAAAAUGACGGUACCUGAUUAAGAAGCCCCGGCUAACUACGUGCCAGCAGCCGCGGUAAUACGGAGGGGGCCAGCGUUAUCCGGAUUUACGGGGUGUAAUGGGAGAGUAGACGGCAGCACAAGUCUGGAGUGAAAGGCCGGGGCUUAACCCCGAAACUGCUUUGGAAACUGUACAGCUAGAGUGCAGGAGAGGUGAGUGGAAUUCCUAGUGUAGCGGUGAAAUGCGUAGAUAUUAGGAGGAACACCAGUGGCGAAGGCAGCUUACUGGACUGUAACUGACGUUGAGGCUCGAAAGCGUGGGGAGCAAACAGGAUUAGAUACCCGGGUGGUC